UGCCCGCCCCGGCCCCGGCCCCGCCGCCGGUGCCGCCGGCCCCCCCUCCGCCUCCGCCGCCACCGCCUCCACCGCCCCCCGCGCCGGCGGCGGCUCCCAGGGCGGAGGCGGGCGAGGCCGAGGCGUGGCUCUGCGGGCAGUCCGCCAGGUUGGCGAUCUGGAAGGCGCUGUCGGUGACGGCGGCCGAGGCCGCGGCGGGGAGUGCAGGGGCCGUCACUGACGAUGACCCCGGGUGGCAGGGACAGGCCGCCCAGCGCCGGGAUGGCCGAGAAGAUGCUCUACCUGAUAGUUCAGGAUAUUUCCAGCAUCUUUUCUGAUGUAGUGCUAUCGAUCAGAAACGCUCACUCGGGAGGCAGUCGUGGGGCUACGUCUAGUUUCCAGACUCCGCCCAACCUACCGAGUGCAAAAACUUCGUCUUCUCCCCACGUCGUGCACUAAAAGCGGGCUUAUGUAAACAAAUCCAGAUGAAGGGAGCGUAAAUCUACAGAAGGAACCUCACCCUCGGCUGCACUGGGGACCGGCGGGCGUCUUUCCGUCGGGGG
Chiroxiphia lanceolata (lance-tailed manakin) is the source of this 542-nucleotide long non-coding RNA. RefSeq lists it as uncharacterized. Lineage: Eukaryota; Metazoa; Chordata; Aves; Passeriformes; Pipridae. The transcript has 3 exons. The record is from RefSeq and is a predicted model, not a curated record.